GGGGAAUCUUGCGCAAUGCGCGAAAGCGUGACGCAGCAACGCCGCGUGGGGGAAGAAGGCUCUCGGGUCGUAAACCCCUUUCAGUUGGGACGAAGCUUCGCCGGCGAAUAGCCGGCCGGAGUGACGGUACCUUCACAAGAAGCCCCGGCUAACUACGUGCCAGCAGCCGCGGUAAUACGUAGGGGGCAAGCGUUGUCCGGAAUCAUUGGGCGUAAAGCGCGUGUAGGCGGCUUGAUAAGUCUGUUGUGAAAGGCCAGGGCUCAACCCUGGAAUGCCGAUGGAUACUGUCAAGCUCGAGUCCGGAAGAGGCGAGUGGAAUUCCUGGUGUAGCGGUGAAAUGCGCAGAUAUCAGGAGGAACACCAAUGGCGAAGGCAGCUCGCUGGGACGGUACUGACGCUGAGACGCGAAAGCGUGGGGAGCAAAC
Molecule: ribosomal RNA, 425 nt
Filed under: uncultured bacterium
Lineage: Bacteria
Description: bacterial SSU rRNA
Rfam family: Bacterial small subunit ribosomal RNA
Source: RNAcentral